UUAGAGUUUGAUCCUGGCUCAGGAUGAACGCUAGCGGCAGGCUUAAUAUAUGCAAGUCGAACGGUAACAGGCCCAGCAAUGGGUGCUGACGAGUGGCGCACGGGUGCGUAACACGUAUGCAACCUACCCUUUACUGGGGAAUAACCCCGCGAAAGCGGGGCUAAUACCCCAUAGUAUUGUUUAAUGGCAUCAUUGAACACUUAAAGAUUUAUUGGUAAAGGAUGGGCAUGCGUCCCAUUAGUUAGUUGGUAAGGUAACGGCUUACCAAGACGAUGAUGGGUAGGGGUUCUGAGAGGAUUAUCCCCCACACUGGUACUGAGACACGGACCAGACUCCUACGGGAGGCAGCAGUAAGGAAUAUUGGGCAAUGGGCGGUAGCCUGACCCAGCCAUGCCGCGUGCAGGAAGACGGCCUUAUGGGUUGUAAACUGCUUUUAUAUGGGACUAACCUACUCUACGUGUAGAGUACUGCAUGUACCAUAAGAAUAAGCAUCGGCUAACUCCGUGCCAGCAGCCGCGGUAAUACGGAGGAUGCAAGCGUUAUCCGGAAUCAUUGGGUUUAAAGGGUGCGUAGGCGGACUAGUAAGUCAGUGGUGAAAUCUCCGGGCUCAACCUGGAGUCUGCCAUUGAUACUGUUAGUCUAGAGU
This 646-nucleotide ribosomal RNA is filed under the name uncultured bacterium. Its description in RNAcentral is "bacterial SSU rRNA". It matches the Rfam family "Bacterial small subunit ribosomal RNA", at positions 1 to 647 of the family's 1533-position model. The record is from RNAcentral.